Molecule: ribosomal RNA, 248 nt
Filed under: uncultured bacterium
Lineage: Bacteria
Description: partial 16S ribosomal RNA
Rfam family: Bacterial small subunit ribosomal RNA
Source: RNAcentral
GAUCCUGGCUCAGAUUGAACGCUGGCGGCAGGCCUAACACAUGCAAGUCGAACGGUAACAGAAAGCAGCUUGCUGCUUUGCUGACGAGUGGCGGACGGGUGAGUAAUGUCUGGGAAACUGCCUGAUGGAGGGGGAUAACUACUGGAAACGGUAGCUAAUACCGCAUAACGUCGCGAGACCAAAAGAGGGGGGACCUUCGGGCCUCUUGCCAUCGGAUGUGCCCAGGUGGGAUUAGCUAGUAGGUGGGG